UUUUUAACUCAAGUGGCGGACGGGUGAGUAACACGUAAGAAUUUACCUUUAGGAGGGGGAUAACAACUGGAAACGGUUGCUAAUACCCCAUAUGCUUUCGAGUGAAAUGGAUUUUUCCGCCUAAAGAGGAGCUUGCGGCUGAUUAGCUUGUUGGUGAGGUAAUGGCUCACCAAGGCGACGAUCAGUAUCUGGUUUGAGAGGACGAUCAGACACACUGGAACUGAGACACGGUCCAGACUCCUACGGGAGGCAGCAGUGGGGAAUUUUCCGCAAUGGGCGAAAGCCUGACGGAGCAAUACCGCGUGAGGGAUGACGGCCUAUGGGUUGUAAACCUCUUUUUUCAGGGAGGAAUCAAUGACGUGUACCUGAAGAAUAAGCAUCGGCUAACUCCGUGCCAGCAGCCGCGGUAAGACGGAGGAUGCAAGUGUUAUCCGGAAUCACUGGGCGUAAAGCGUCUGUAGGUGGUCUAGUAAGUCAACUGUUAAAUCUUGAGGCUCAACUUCAAAAUCGCAGUCGAAACUAUUAGACUAGAGUAUAGUAGGGGUAAAGGGAAUUUCCAGUGGAGCGGUGAAAUGCGUAGAGAUUGGAAAGAACACCGAUGGCGAAGGCACUUUACUGGGCUAUUACUGACACUGAGAGACGAAAGCUAGGGUAGCAAAUGGGAUUAGAUACCCC
RNAcentral lists this ribosomal RNA (675 nucleotides) under uncultured Nitzschia. Its description in RNAcentral is "bacterial SSU rRNA". It matches the Rfam family "Bacterial small subunit ribosomal RNA", at positions 83 to 788 of the family's 1533-position model. The record is from RNAcentral. Lineage: Eukaryota; Bacillariophyta; Bacillariophyceae; Bacillariales; Bacillariaceae.